RNAcentral lists this signal recognition particle RNA (96 nucleotides) under Actinobacteria bacterium HGW-Actinobacteria-6. RNAcentral's name for it is "signal recognition particle sRNA small type". It matches the Rfam family "Bacterial small signal recognition particle RNA". From Rfam's summary of the family: The signal recognition particle (SRP) is a universally conserved ribonucleoprotein involved in the co-translational targeting of proteins to membranes. The record is from RNAcentral. Lineage: Bacteria; Bacillati; Actinomycetota.
GACCGGGUUCCGGGCGACGGUAUGUCAUGAACCUGGUCAGAUCCGGAAGGAAGCAGCCAUAAGUGGCCGCUGCCGGGUGUCCGGGACUCGGUCCGG